This 492-nucleotide ribosomal RNA is filed under the name uncultured bacterium. Its description in RNAcentral is "partial 16S ribosomal RNA". It matches the Rfam family "Bacterial small subunit ribosomal RNA", at positions 29 to 507 of the family's 1533-position model. The record is from RNAcentral.
AGUGAGCGCUGGCGGUAGGCCUAACACAUGCAAGUCGAACGGCAGCACAGUAAGAGCUUGCUCUUACGGGUGGCGCGUGGCGGACGGGUGAGGAAUACAUCGGAAUCUACUUUUUCGUGGGGGAUAACGUAGGGAAACUUACGCUAAUACCGCAUACGACCUACGGGUGAAAGCAGGGGAUCUUCGGACCUUGCGCGAUUGAAUGAGCCGAUGUCGGAUUAGCUAGAUGGCGGGGUAAAGGCCCACCAAGGCUACGAUCCGUAGCUCGUCUGAGAGGGUGAACAGCUACACUGGAACUGAGACACGGUCCAGACUCCGACGGGAGGCAGCAGUGGGGAAUAUUGGACGAUGGGCGCAAGGCUGAUCCAGGCAUACCGCGUGAGUGAAGAAGGACUUCUGGUUGUAAAGCCCUUUUGUUGGUAAAGAAAAGCAGCAGGUUAAUACCCCGCUGUUCUGACGGUACCCAAAGAAGAAGCACCGGCUAACUUCGUG